CAUGCCCAAAAUGGCACCCUAUUCCCUAUAUAGUGCACUACUAUUGUCCAAAAGUAUUGCGUUAGUGAAUAGGGAGCCAUUUCGGACACACCUGUGUACCUUUGUCCCUGAUCUAAACUUUGUAUAUCUAGAUCUAUAGAAAUGGAGUAAAAUAGAUAGAAAUCCAUUGAAAUAGACCUUCCUUGUGUUCUGGCUGUCUGUCAUAUUGACUGAGUGAUUGAUUGCGGAGGGGUGGAGGGGUGGUGGAGGAGUAACGAUUCUAGGGGUCAGAGAGAGGGGCGUCAACAAAAGAGGAUGAUUUGAUUUAGAAUGACUAAGAAACACUCUGGCUUAAAAUGAACUGGGGGGGGUGGGGGGUUGGCAAAUAGUAUGGAUAGUAGAGUGAGCACACAUUUUGAAGUAAGCACCUUACAUGUAAGUACCCUCAAUGAAGUAAGCAGACUAGUAAGAACCCUGUGCAAAUAAGAUCACUCUAGUGAUGUAAUAACCCUAUGAAGUAAACACAGUCCUUAUGAUGUAAUAACCCUAUGAAGUUAACACAGUCCUUAUGAUGUAAUAACCCUAUGAAGUAAACACAGUCCUUAUGAUGUAAUAACCCUAUGAAGUAAACACAGUCCUUAUGAUGUAAUAACCCUAUGAAGUAAACACAGUCCUUAUGAUGUAAUAACCCUAUGAAGUAAACACAGUCCUUAUGAUGUAAUAACCCUAUGAAGUAAACACAGUCCUUAUGAUGUAAGCACAUUAUGAAAUAAACACAGUCCUUAUGAUGUAAUAACCCUAUGAAGUAAACACAGUCCUUAUGAUGUAAUAACCCUAUGAAGUAAACACAGUCCUUAUGAUGUAAUAACCCUAUGAAGUAAACACAGUCCUUAUGAUGUAAUAACCCUAUGAAGUAAACACAGUCCUUAUGAUGUAAUAACCCUAUGAAGUAAACACAGUCCUUAUGAUGUAAUCACACUAUGAAGUAAACACAGUCCUUAUGAUGUAAUAACCCUAUGAAGUAAACACAGUCCUUAUGAUGUAAUAACCCUAUGAAGUAAACACAGUCCUUAUGAUGUAAGCACACUAUGAAGUAAACACAGUCCUUCUGAUGUAAGCACACACUAUGAAGUAAGUGUAUGCACUGUAUAGGGAAUAGGGUGCCAUUUGAGACGUAGCCAGUGAUAGUCAGUGUUGAUUCCAGCUUAACCCAUAGAAGACUCUCUCUCAGAUCAAUAGGCUGUAUACGUGGUCAUGUUUAGACUAUAUCCCUGUCUCUCACUCAGCCUUAAUGCACAUUUCCCUCCACUCACUGUGGGGGAGUGAAGGAGCAUAAUGGUCUAUACUCAAACACAGCCCCAGAACCAGGCCACUCUCUGUCCCCCUACAGAGGAGCAGACGUCUCCCUCCUGUCACUAACCCGAUGGACGACAGGCCAGUACAACCUGUGAUGUUCAAUGGCCGCCCCUGUAUUCCCCUAUAGACAGAGACAAGACAGGUGGCCAAUCACUGUAUUCCCCUAUAGAGAGAGACAAGACAGGUGGGCCAAUCACUGUAUUCCCCUAUAGAGAGAGACAAGACAGGUGGGCCAAUCACUGUAUUCCCCUAUAGAGAGAGACAAGACAGGUGGGCCAAUCACUGUAUUCCCCUAUAGAGAGAGACAAGACAGGUGGCCAAUCACUGUGUUCCCCUAUAGAGAGAGACAAGACAGGUGGCCAAUCACUGUGUUCCCCUAUAGAGAGAGACAAGACAGGUGGCCAAUCACUGUGUUCCCCUAUAGAGAGAGACAAGACAGGUGGGCCAAUCACUGUGUUCCCCUAUAGAGAGAGACAAGACAGGUGGGCCAAUCACUGUGUUCCCCUAUAGAGAGAGACAAGACAGGUGGGCCAAUCACUGUGUUCCCCUAUAGAGAGAGACAAGACAGGUGGCCAAUCACUGUGUUCCCCUAUAGAGAGAGACAAGACAGGUGGGCCAAUCACUGUGUUCCCCUAUAGAGAGAGACAAGACAGGUGGCCAAUCACUGUGUUCCCCUAUAGAGAGAGACAAGACAG
Molecule: long non-coding RNA, 2030 nt
Organism: Oncorhynchus keta (chum salmon)
Lineage: Eukaryota; Metazoa; Chordata; Actinopteri; Salmoniformes; Salmonidae
Exons: 3
Source: RefSeq, a predicted model, not a curated record